RNAcentral lists this transfer RNA (77 nucleotides) under Mycobacterium phage Willis. Its description in RNAcentral is "tRNA-Asp". It matches the Rfam family "tRNA". From Rfam's summary of the family: Transfer RNA (tRNA) molecules are approximately 80 nucleotides in length. Their secondary structure includes four short double-helical elements and three loops (D, anti-codon, and T loops). Further hydrogen bonds mediate the characteristic L-shaped molecular structure. tRNAs have two regions of fundamental functional importance: the anti-codon, which is responsible for specific mRNA codon recognition, and the 3' end, to which the tRNAs corresponding amino acid is attached (by aminoacyl-tRNA synthetases). tRNAs cope with the degeneracy of the genetic code in two manners: having more than one tRNA (with a specific anti-codon) for a particular amino acid; and 'wobble' base-pairing, i.e. permitting non-standard base-pairing at the 3rd anti-codon position. The record is from RNAcentral. Lineage: Duplodnaviria; Heunggongvirae; Uroviricota; Caudoviricetes.
UGGCCCUGUAGCUCAGAGGAAGAGCGCCGGUCUGUCGAAUCGGAGGUCGCGGUAUCGUAAUCCGUCAGGGUCGCAAU